Long non-coding RNA from Canis lupus familiaris (dog), 2676 nucleotides. RefSeq lists it as uncharacterized. The transcript has 2 exons. The record is from RefSeq and is a predicted model, not a curated record. NCBI's taxonomy places the organism in Eukaryota, Metazoa, Chordata, Mammalia, Carnivora, Canidae.
UGCAAGAAAGACGGUUGCUUUUGGAACCCGCUCAAGCACUUCUGCACAACACGUAAUGCGAUUGAGUCCGGAAUUUCACUGUAUAGGAUCAGCAUUUUGUGAGAUCCUUUAGAAAGGCCGUAUUGCAGAGGCUAAGUGGUGGGCGAUUUAUGUGCAUUUGACCUGACCCGUUUCACUGCUUAAUUUAGAUGGACUUUAGGAUUUUAAAAGUCAUCCCCUGACACCUCUGUGCGUGCUGUGUGGUUCCCUUUCACUGCAAGGUUGCAGUGACCUUAAACAGUCACAUGAAUCACGGUUCAUGUGCUUUGAGCCUGUCCUGUCGGGGGAAAGGGAAGAGGGUAAACAGGAAGAAAGGACAUCAUGGAGCAAAAAGUGGCAUAUUUUAGAGUAAGUAAAAUCAAGCUACUCGUGGACUUGACUGGAAAAAGUUUUCAGGACAAACAUCCAAGCGUGCAAGCCAACAAGGCCCUGAGACACCCGAUCUCUGGUAUAUUCGUGUGGUUCCCUCCGCAGGUGCGGGAAGAUGUCAUCGGGCAACGCACCUACACCCAGUAAGGAUCCCACCGGCCUUCCCACUUGCUGGCUGAUGGCUCCCCUCCCACAAGUGGUUGGUUAUGCGAGUCGGAGAGGAUUUUCCAUUUCCUUCACCUUCUUUGUCUUUUCCAGUCAGAUCCCUUACGGUCCUGAAGCAUAAAGUGACCGGUACAGCAGAAGGAAGUUCAUUUCGUUUCUCCAGUAAUGCCUGGCAAAAUUUAUUCUCUGAUCACACGUUUAUUGAAUAUACUGUGUACCAAGCACAGUUGUAGGAAUUGGGGAUUUGGAGAGGACUAUGUAAAGUCCAUGCCCUCCACGGGUUUACAAUAAGGUUAGGGAGGAUUUGGGGUACGAGGGAACUUGAGAUGGCGAAGGCUCCAGGGCAGGAAACUUUGAUCAGCUUUGCCAGCUCACGACCAGAGGCCCAGGCCAAUACCCAGAGGAGAUCUGAUAGAGAAUGAAGGAGGAAGGACAACUCAGGGAAAGAGAAGACUUCUGAACACUCAAAUAAUAUGAACUUCUCCUCGACUGGAGUGUAUCCUAAGGACAGCGUCAGUACGAAUCUCUAUCAGCCCGUGGAUUCCAAGCCCACCUUGGCUGGCCGCAGAAUGUUUAAAAAAGGUGGCGGAUUACGUGGACUCCGCGUAUCUUUCUAACCAGCAUGAAUCAAAAUCAAGAGGGAUUACGCAAUAUCAGAAAAUAAUAGUUUUCAGAAACGGAAAUGGAAGUUGUUAUCUCACAGCAUGUGUGUCCUUAUAAGAAAGGAUGAACUUAAGUUCAAAGCAGAGAACGGAUCGGAAGGCCUACCCUAAUCCUGUGCUAGGCUAACCUACCUCCGCCACUUGAAGUCAUGAUUUCUACAGCUUUGUCUUCUAUUUCACAUAGAAAAUAGUCCUCCAUUUUUAAAAAGAGGAAGAGUAGGAAAGGUCAAUGACAUCUACAUUUUCCUUUUAAUUCUUUAAUGUCUUUCCAUUCGUUAUUAAAAUAGUUCGGUAGAUAAGUUUAACUCCUGAUCCUAUAAUUCAGGGGAAGUCAGUGAACAGAUCAGAUGUGUGACUUCACCUUGGUUGGUUGUGGGAGAGAGGUCAUGGGGCAAUGCACCUGCACCCAGUAAGGAUCCCAUCCGUCUUCCCAGAAGCUGACUGAUGGCUCCCCUCCCCAAAGUGGUCCCACUUUGUCAGUUCACAGCCUUGGUCAAUAAUAUUCAGCAAAUAGAUGCAUUUGGCCCAAUGGCCCUCUCAUAAACUCUUAAUCAAACAUAAUUGAUAUUACUAAGAUGGUGAACAAAGCAGGGAUAUAUUUAUGUUCCUGGUAAGGUUUCUUACGUUGGCCAAUUUUUGCUGUCAAUUAUUCAUAUGAAGUUUAAUCAUUUAAAAGUUCAACAGAAACGAAUGUGGGUAAACUUUUAUCCUCGGUCUUAAAAGCUAAUUGAUUAUCAUAGGGUUGUGUAUUUUUUUUUCCAGUGUGCUAGAUUCAUCAUUAUAUUUAUAUAACGUUAGGUCUAUUCCUGAAAGCAUUUACUUAGGGAAAUACUUGGCAUUUACUUAGAGAAAUAAAAUAAAUCUUACUUUUGUUCCCUUGCCCCGAUUUUAUAUUUAUUCGCCCCACAGCCUGCAACAAUCCAAAGGAACGGAGAGUGUGUGCGAUGACCAGUAGCUAUUUUUGAGAGCUUGUUUGACUAACCUGGUGCACGAAUCCUCUCUAGAGUGUGGGACCAACACCAUUCUCGGAGAAGUGUGCUUCCCCGCGUGGAUGUGUAUAUAGGUGAAAUAUGCUAAAGAAAGGAUAAGCACCAAGGGCAACCCUUAAUCUGGAAGAGAAAAGGCAGAACGAGGAAGGGAUUAUACAUUCAAGGGGGUACAUGGUCUUGGAUCCUGCAGAAGGAAUAACCAUGUGUUUUUCAGUUUUGACUGGAUACUAAGAGAAGAAUUAUAGAUUACAUUUAUAUAUAUGAACCUCAGGUCUUUCUUUUUUUUAAAAAAAAAAAAAAAACGCCAACAGUGGGGAAACUGUAACGACAGCCUCCAUUUUACUUUACUCUGAGAUGGUCUGACCCCGAUGACCUGAAUGCAUUUCCACUCUUUCAAGGUUGAAAUAAAAAGCAAAGACUGCACAAAACAAUAAAACAAAGUUUAAAAAGUU